Non-coding RNA from Salmo salar (Atlantic salmon), 55 nucleotides. The record is from Rfam. Lineage: Eukaryota; Metazoa; Chordata; Actinopteri; Salmoniformes; Salmonidae.
UGAAUGCACUAACUGUAAGUCGCUCUGGAGAAGAGCGUCUGCUAAAUGAAUCAAA